This 329-nucleotide unclassified non-coding RNA is filed under the name uncultured fungus. RNAcentral describes it as "partial contains 5.8S ribosomal RNA, internal transcribed spacer 2, and large subunit ribosomal RNA". The stretch from base 1 to 52 matches the Rfam family "5.8S ribosomal RNA", at positions 103 to 154 of the family's 154-position model. Lineage: Eukaryota; Fungi. The record is from RNAcentral.
AACGCACCUUGCGCUCCUUGGUAUUCCGAGGAGCAUGCCUGUUUGAGUGUCAUGAAAAUGUCAACUGCUUUUAGCAUUUAUGAUAAAAGUGAAGUUGGAAUUGGAGGAUAAUUGCUGGCGUGACUUAGGUUGCUUGUUGGCUCCUCUUGAAUGCAUGAGCGUUUCUAAUAGAUCAUGGCUUAGCGACACUAAUGUGAUAAUUAUCUAUGUUAGAUGUAGAAAGCUGUGAGUAGGGGCGACUUCAAUUAUGGAGGAGCUCCUAUAGAAAGGCGUGAGAUGAUAAUAACACAUCUGACCUCAAAUCAGGUAGGACUACCCGCUGAACUUAA